Molecule: non-coding RNA, 2093 nt
Organism: Pelobates cultripes (western spadefoot toad)
Lineage: Eukaryota; Metazoa; Chordata; Amphibia; Anura; Pelobatidae
Source: the annotation of a GenBank genome assembly
UCCGUGUAUCUGUUUGUUCCUCCAGCCCUGUGUGUCUUUAUAUCCCCCCCAACUCUUCUGUGUGCCUCUUUGUUUAGCUAAGCCCCUCUAAGUGUGCUCCUCCUUGUCUCUUUUUCCCCGCCAAACCCUGUUUGUGUCUUUGCCCCCAAAACCUCUUUGCCCCCUGUGUAUCUCUUUGCCACCCCGCACCACUCUGUGUCUUUUUGUCCACCCUCAGACCCUGUGUGUCUCUUUGUCCGUCCCCUCUUUUUGCUGUCUUCCUCCUUCUGCAGUGCCAUCUUACCUACUUGUAGCGUGGUCGAGUGAACUAUUCUGUCUGGGAGCACUUCCUGUUAGACUGGGUAGAGGAUACAGAAGAUUCUCUACUGCGGUGCCUUGGCCACACUACAUGAAAUGAUUGGCAGGAGGGGAAUGCGUGGGACAGAGACACGCUGGCUGUGCGUGGCUGGGAGAGAGAGCGACACACACACACACACAGGCUGUGCGUGGCUUGGAGAGAGAGCGACACACACACACACACACACAGGCUGUGCGUGGGUGGGAGAGAGAGAGAGAGACACGCACACGCUGGCUGUGCGUGGGAGAGAGUGAGAGACACGCACACGCUGGCUGUGGGUGGGUGGGAGAGACGCACACACGCACACGCUGGCUGUGCGUGGGUGGGAGAGAGGCACGCUGGCUGUGCGUGGCUAAGGAGAGACACGCUGGCUGUGCGUGGGUGGGAGAGAGAGCAACACACACACACAGGCUGUGCGUGGCUGGGAGAGAGAGCGACACACACACACACACACACACACACACAGGCUGUCCGUGGGUGGGAGAGAGAGAGACACACACGCACACGCUGGCUGUGCGUGGGUGGGAGAGACGCAAACACGCACACGCUGGCUGUGAGAGACGCACACGCUGGCUGUGGGUGGGAGAGACGCACACACGCUGGCUGUGCGUGGGUGGGAGAGAGGCACGCUGGCUGUGCGUGGGUAGGAGAGAGCAGGGCUGGCCCAAGAAGCCAAGCCCGCCCCCCCAAAAAAAGCUUUGCGCACAUCCAUUAUAUUAUACAGUGUGUGUAGUGAAUGCAUUGUGUAUAGUGGAUGCAGUGUCUAUGUGGGUAGUGGAUGCAAUGUCUUUACGUGUAGUGAAUGUAGUGCAGCGAGAUUGGAUAAGGGCUGUGAGGGGACAGUAGUUUUUAAAAUAUUUUUAUUAAAUUUAGGGGUUUUUUUUUUCCCUCCCUGCCUCUUACCUGUUUCAGGGUGGGUGGCACACAGGAUUCCCUGGUGGUCCGGUGGCACAGCAUACGGUGUCCUGUGAAGAAGGGACCCAGGAGUGUAAUAUUGCACAUCCUGUAGCAUCAGAUCCUCUCUUCUCGCGAACUGUGUGAGCGUUGCUGCAUGUUGCCAUGGCAACGCUACACAUAACAUGUAAUGCAAGUCGGGAAUGUUGCCAUGGCAACACUUACACACUCGCACCGAGGGGACGGGAGAGAGAGCACGACACACACUCGCACCGAGGGGACGGGAGAGAGAGCACGACACACACUCGCACCGAGGGGACGGGAGAGAGGGAGGUGCACCGAGGGGCAUGGGAGAGAGAGAGACACUCACAAUGAGGGGCAUGGGAGAGAGAGAGACACUCACAAUGAGGGGCAUGGGAGAGAGAGAGACACUCACAAUGAGGGGCAUGGGAGAGAGAGAGACACUCACAAUGAAGGGAUGGGAGAGAGACACUCACAAUGAGUGGAUGGGAGUGAGAGACUCACAAUGAGUGGAUGGGAGUGAGAGACUCACAAUGAGGGGAUGGGAGAGAGAGACUCACAAUGAGGGGAUGGGAGUGAGACACUCACAAUGAGGGGAUGGGAGAGAGACACUCACAAUGAGGGGAUGGGAGAGAGACACUCACAAUGAAGGGAUGGGAGAGAGACACUCACAAUGAAGGGAUGGGAGAGAGACACUCACAAUGAAGGGAUGGGAGAGAGAGACUCACAAUGAAGGGAUGGGAGAGAGAGACUCACAAUGAGGGGAUGGGAGAGAGACACUCACAAUGAGGGGAUGGGAGAGAGAGACUCACAAUGAGGGGAUGGGAGAGAGAGACUCACA